Molecule: long non-coding RNA, 243 nt
Filed under: Mustela putorius furo (domestic ferret)
Lineage: Eukaryota; Metazoa; Chordata; Mammalia; Carnivora; Mustelidae
Description: lncRNA (ENSMPUG00000025534.1)
Source: RNAcentral
GGUGUUUGGAGACCCAGGCUCAUGUAGAAAACAAGAGGAAGACUCCAGAACAGUUCCUCUCAGCUUGGCACGUGCCUUCCUGAAAGGGACCACAGAGGUCAUUUGUCAUAGAACGCAGACCCACAAGACAGAAGAAGCUGGAUCUCUGAAUUACUGCUUGGGGACAAGCCCCCCACUCAUCAAAAACACUGAAUUAAACUUCAUGUGAGCAAGAAAUAAACUUGUAUUUAGAAAGGCUUUUUG